GACGAACGCUGGCGGCGUGCCUAAUACAUGCAAGUAGAACGCUGAAGAGAGGAGCUUGCUCUUCUUGGAUGAGUUGCGAACGGGUGAGUAACGCGUAGGUAACCUGCCUUGUAGCGGGGGAUAACUAUUGGAAACGAUAGCUAAUACCGCAUAACAAUGGAUGACCCAUGUCAUUUAUUUGAAAGGGGCAAAUGCUCCACUACAAGAUGGACCUGCGUUGUAUUAGCUAGUAGGUGAGGUAACGGCUCACCUAGGCGACGAUACAUAGCCGACCUGAGAGGGUGAUCGGCCACACUGGGACUGAGACACGGCCCAGACUCCUACGGGAGGCAGCAGUAGGGAAUCUUCGGCAAUGGGGGCAACCCUGACCGAGCAACGCCGCGUGAGUGAAGAAGGUUUUCGGAUCGUAAAGCUCUGUUGUAAGUCAAGAACGAGUGUGAGAGUGGAAAGUUCACACUGUGACGGUAGCUUACCAGAAAGGGACGGCUAGCUACGUG
Molecule: ribosomal RNA, 497 nt
Filed under: uncultured bacterium
Lineage: Bacteria
Description: partial 16S ribosomal RNA
Rfam family: Bacterial small subunit ribosomal RNA
Source: RNAcentral